This 402-nucleotide ribosomal RNA is filed under the name uncultured bacterium. RNAcentral's name for it is "bacterial SSU rRNA". It matches the Rfam family "Bacterial small subunit ribosomal RNA", at positions 355 to 774 of the family's 1533-position model. The record is from RNAcentral.
UGGGGAAUAUUGCACAAUGGGCGAAAGCCUGAUGCAGCGACGCCGCGUGAGUGAUGAAGGCCUUCGGGUUGUAAAGCUCUGUCUUCUGGGACGAUAAUGACGGUACCAGAGGAGGAAGCCACGGCUAACUACGUGCCAGCAGCCGCGGUAAUACGUAGGUGGCAAGCGUUGUCCGGAUUUACUGGGCGUAAAGGAUGCGUAGGCGGAUACUUAAGUCAGAUGUGAAAAUCCCGGGCUUAACUUGGGAACUGCAUUUGAAACUGGGUAUCUAGAGUGCGGGAGAGGAAAGGGGAAUUCCUAGUGUAGCGGUGAAAUGCGUAGAGAUUAGGAAGAACACCAGUGGCGAAGGCGACUUUCUGGACCGUAACUGACGCUGAGGCAUGAAAGCGUGGGGAGCAAACA